GAUGAACGCUGGCGGCGUGCCUAAUACAUGCAAGUCGAGCGAACGGACGAGGAGCUUGCUCCUUUGACGUUAGCGGCGGACGGGUGAGUAACACGUGGAUAACCUACCUAUAAGACUGGGAUAACUUCGGGAAACCGGAGCUAAUACCGGAUAAUAUAUUGAACCGCAUGGUUCAAUAGUGAAAGACGGUUUUGCUGUCACUUAUAGAUGGAUCCGCGCCGCAUUAGCUAGUUGGUAAGGUAACGGCUUACCAAGGCAACGAUGCGUAGCCGACCUGAGAGGGUGAUCGGCCACACUGGAACUGAGACACGGUCCAGACUCCUACGGGAGGCAGCAGUAGGGAAUCUUCCGCAAUGGGCGAAAGCCUGACGGAGCAACGCCGCGUGAGUGAUGAAGGUCUUCGGAUCGUAAAACUCUGUUAUUAGGGAAGAACAAAUGUGUAAGUAACUAUGCACGUCUUGACGGUACCUAAUCAGAAGGCCACGGCUAACUACG
RNAcentral lists this ribosomal RNA (495 nucleotides) under uncultured bacterium. RNAcentral's name for it is "partial 16S ribosomal RNA". It matches the Rfam family "Bacterial small subunit ribosomal RNA", at positions 28 to 505 of the family's 1533-position model. The record is from RNAcentral.